RNAcentral lists this ribosomal RNA (579 nucleotides) under uncultured Lactobacillus sp. RNAcentral's name for it is "bacterial SSU rRNA". It matches the Rfam family "Bacterial small subunit ribosomal RNA", at positions 922 to 1501 of the family's 1533-position model. Lineage: Bacteria; Bacillati; Bacillota; Bacilli; Lactobacillales; Lactobacillaceae. The record is from RNAcentral.
CGCACAAGCGGUGGAGCAUGUGGUUUAAUUCGAAGCUACGCGAAGAACCUUACCAGGUCUUGACAUACUAUGCAAAUCUAAGAGAUUAGACGUUCCCUUCGGGGACAUGGAUACAGGUGGUGCAUGGUUGUCGUCAGCUCGUGUCGUGAGAUGUUGGGUUAAGUCCCGCAACGAGCGCAACCCUUAUUAUCAGUUGCCAGCAUUAAGUUGGGCACUCUGGUGAGACUGCCGGUGACAAACCGGAGGAAGGUGGGGAUGACGUCAAAUCAUCAUGCCCCUUAUGACCUGGGCUACACACGUGCUACAAUGGAUGGUACAACGAGUUGCGAACUCGCGAGAGUAAGCUAAUCUCUUAAAGCCAUUCUCAGUUCGGAUUGUAGGCUGCAACUCGCCUACAUGAAGUCGGAAUCGCUAGUAAUCGCGGAUCAGCAUGCCGCGGUGAAUACGUUCCCGGGCCUUGUACACACCGCCCGUCACACCAUGAGAGUUUGUAACACCCAAAGUCGGUGGGGUAACCUUUUAGGAACCAGCCGCCUAAGGUGGGACAGAUGAUUAGGGUGAAGUCGUAACAAGGUAACC